GACUGUCGUGCAGCCUGAGUCAUUUGGUGAAGUGGUCUGAAUCACUCGCGCACCAAAAGGGCAUCGAGGCAGAAAAUCGUACAUGCAUACUUGGUAUCGGUACACCAUGCCCAACAUGUGCCAAUCCACUGCCAGACAAGAAUCCCACCCCCUGAGGACAUAUCAGGUUUUUGAUGUGAAUGUUGUGAUCAGCAAAAUCCUGAACUGGUUUUCUUAGAGACGUCUCUGCCUGUCAACGCACACAACUAAAGGAUCCAUGACUGGGACCUGCAAAUUUCAUGCUGUGGAGUAUAGAAUUGUGAUAAUACUGUCAUGGCUUAUUAAACCAAGAGUUAAACCAAGCUGAUGGAGAGACAAGAUCAAAGACCUCAUGUACAGGACAUGGAAGGACAUGGAAGAAUGCUUUUAACUUAAAAGAAGGCAGAAUCCAAUAAAAGGUUCAGGUCUAUUACAGAAUCCCAUCAAGAGCAUCAUAGAACAUAUUGAAAAACUCUGUCCUGGAGCAUCUUGUGAGGCCACAGCUGAAGAACUCAAACAUGAGAUGGUUGACACACACACCCUACAAAGACACGUAACUUGUCCCUCAAAUCAGACUCAGUGCUAAAGGACUGGAAAAUUGUCAACGUGACCCUGGUUUUUGUGAAAGGGAACCCGAGGGGAUCUGGAAAAUCAACCUAGUUUUUUGAUGCAGCGUUUCUCAACCUUGGUGACUUUAAGAUAUGUGACCUCCAACUCCCAGAGUUCUCAAGCCACCUUGAGUUGGAGUUCACACUUUUUAAAAUCAUGGAGGUUGAGAAACACUGGCGAUAAAGAUAUGACUAGAACUGAU
Non-coding RNA from Pantherophis guttatus, 829 nucleotides. The record is from RefSeq and is a predicted model, not a curated record. Lineage: Eukaryota; Metazoa; Chordata; Lepidosauria; Squamata; Colubridae.